AGCGAACGCUGGCGGCGUGCUUAACACAUGCAAGUCGAACGUGAAAGUAGCAAUAUGAGUAAAGUGGCGUACGGGUGAGUAACACGUGGGUAAUCUACCUUAGAGUCUGGAAUAACGUGCCGAAAGGCGCGCUAAUACUGGAUAGUUCAAGCGCAUCGUAGAGGUGCGAUUGGGAAAGGGAGCUCGUAAGAGCCUUCGCUUUAGGAUGAGCCCGCGUCUGAUUAGCUAGUUGGUGAGGUAAUGGCUCACCAAGGCGACGAUCAGUAGCUGGUCUGAGAGGAUGAUCAGCCACACUGGAACUGAAACACGGUCCAGACUCCUACGGGAGGCAGCAGUGGGGAAUCUUGCGCAAUGGACGAAAGUCUGACGCAGCCACGCCGCGUGAGUGAAGAAGGCCUUCGGGUUGUAAAGCUCUGUCGGAGGGGACAAAAACUCAUUAGGUUAAUAGCCUAGUGACUUGAUGGUACCCUUAAAGGAAGCACCGGCUAACUUCGUG
RNAcentral lists this ribosomal RNA (496 nucleotides) under uncultured organism. RNAcentral's name for it is "bacterial SSU rRNA". It matches the Rfam family "Bacterial small subunit ribosomal RNA", at positions 29 to 507 of the family's 1533-position model. The record is from RNAcentral.